Molecule: ribosomal RNA, 405 nt
Filed under: uncultured bacterium
Lineage: Bacteria
Description: partial 16S ribosomal RNA
Rfam family: Bacterial small subunit ribosomal RNA
Source: RNAcentral
AUUGAACGCUAGCGGCAGGCUUUACACAUGCAAGUCGAACGCGUGGCGGACGGGUGAGUAAUAUAUCGGAACGUGCCCAGUAGCGGGGGAUAACUACUCGAAAGAGUGGCUAAUACCGCAUACUAUCGGAACGGCCGAUAUCGGAGUAGCUAGUUGGUGGGGGAAUGGAUCACCAAGGCAACGAUCCAUAGCUGGUUUGAGAGGAUGACCAGCCACAGUGGAACUGAGACACGGACCAGACUCCUACGGGAGGCAGCAGUGGGGAAUAUUGGACAAUGGGGGAAACCCUGAUGCAGCCAUCCCGCGUGUAUGAGAAGGCCUUCGGGUUGUAAAGUACUUUUGGCAAAGAAGCGGUAUCUGCAGAAGAAGCACCGGCUAACUACGUGCCAGCCGCCGCGGUAAUAC